Balaenoptera musculus (blue whale) is the source of this 426-nucleotide long non-coding RNA. RefSeq lists it as uncharacterized. The transcript has 3 exons. NCBI's taxonomy places the organism in Eukaryota, Metazoa, Chordata, Mammalia, Artiodactyla, Balaenopteridae. The record is from RefSeq and is a predicted model, not a curated record.
CAAGUGAGGGGAAGGGCCAGGAGCCCCGGUGGAACCCUCCUUAGCCUGUGGAGAUCCACUGCAGUUUGUGCCAGGGGGCCCCAACCACCGGGCCACGGACCACUACCAGUCCGUGGCCUGUUAGGAACCGGGCCGCACGGCAGGAGAUGAGGAGCAAGCAACUGAGCAAAGCUUCAUCUGUAUUGACAGCCGCUCCCCAUCGCUCACAUUACCACCUGAGCUCCGGCUCCUGUCAGCAUUAUGGUUAAGAACAUCGUGCAGACUGUUAUUAAAGUUGAUCCAAAAGGGCAAUCUGUUCUAAAUGACAGUCCCUGGAUCUGCCACGGAACCCUGUAAGUACCCUUCAUUACUCUGGUGGGGCAGUAUCACAUUUCCUUUAUGCUACUUUUGUGGCUGACACAAGCUGGGCAGUGAGAUUUGGGCUUU